AGAGUUUGAUCCUGGCUCAGAUUGAACGCUGGCGGCAUGCCUUACACAUGCAAGUCGAACGGCAGCGCGGGUGCUUGCACCUGGCGGCGAGUGGCGAACGGGUGAGUAAUACAUCGGAACGUGCCCUAGAGUGGGGGAUAACUAGUCGAAAGAUUAGCUAAUACCGCAUACGAUCUACGGAUGAAAGUGGGGGACCGCAAGGCCUCAUGCUCAUGGAGCGGCCGAUGUCUGAUUAGCUAGUUGGUGGGGUAAUGGCCUACCAAGGCGACGAUCAGUAGCUGGUCUGAGAGGACGACCAGCCACACUGGGACUGAGACACGGCCCAGACUCCUACGGGAGGCAGCAGUGGGGAAUUUUGGACAAUGGGGGAAACCCUGAUCCAGCAAUGCCGCGUGUGUGAAGAAGGCCUUCGGGUUGUAAAGCACUUUUGUCAGGAACGAAACGGUGGGGGCUAAUACCCUCUGCUAAUGACGGUACCUGAAGAAUAAGCACCGGCUAACUACGUGCCAGCAGCCGCGGUAAUACGUAGGGUGCAAGCGUUAAUCGGAAUUACUGGGCGUAAAGCGUGCGCAGGCGGUUGUGCAAGACAGAUGUGAAAUCCCCGGGCUUAACCUGGGAAUUGCAUUUGUGACUGCACGGCUAGAGUGUGUCAGAGGGGGGUAGAAUUCCACGUGUAGCAGUGAAAUGCGUAGAUAUGUGGAGGAAUACCGAUGGCGAAGGCAGCCCCCUGGGAUAACACUGACGCUCAUGCACGAAAGCGUGGGGAGCAAACAGGAUUAGAUACCCCGGUAGUCCACGCCCUAAACGAUGUCUACUAGUUGUCGGGUCUUAAUUGACUUGGUAACGCAGCUAACGCGUGAAGUAGACCGCCUGGGGAGUACGGUC
This 885-nucleotide ribosomal RNA is filed under the name uncultured bacterium. Its description in RNAcentral is "bacterial SSU rRNA". It matches the Rfam family "Bacterial small subunit ribosomal RNA", at positions 8 to 887 of the family's 1533-position model. The record is from RNAcentral.